ACGCUGGCGGCGUGCCUAAUACAUGCAAGUAGAACGCUGAAGCUUGGUGCUUGCACCGAGCGGAUGAGUUGCGAACGGGUGAGUAACGCGUAGGUAACCUGCCUCUUAGCGGGGGAUAACUAUUGGAAACGAUAGCUAAUACCGCAUAAAAGACGAUAUCGCAUGAUAUUGAUUUGAAAGGUGCAAUUGCAUCACUAAGAGAUGGACCUGCGUUGUAUUAGCUAGUUGGUGAGGUAACGGCUCACCAAGGCGACGAUACAUAGCCGACCUGAGAGGGUGAUCGGCCACACUGGGACUGAGACACGGCCCAGACUCCUACGGGAGGCAGCAGUAGGGAAUCUUCGGCAAUGGGGGCAACCCUGACCGAGCAACGCCGCGUGAGUGAAGAAGGUUUUCGGAUCGUAAAGCUCUGUUGUAAGAGAAGAACGAGUGUGAGAGUGGAAAGUUCACACUGUGACGGUAACUUACCAGAAAGGGACGGCUAACUACGUGCCAGCAGCCGCGGUAAUACGUAGGUCCCGAGCGUUAUCCGGAUUUAUUGGGCGUAAAGCGAGCGCAGGCGGUUAGAUAAGUCUGAAGUUAAAGGCUGUGGCUUAACCAUAGUACGCUUUGGAAACUGUUUAACUUGAGUGCAGAAGGGGAGAGUGGAAUUCCAUGUGUAGCGGUGAAAUGCGUAGAUAUAUGGAGGAACACCGGUGGCGAAAGCGGCUCUCUGGUCUGUAACUGACGCUGAGGCUCGAAAGCGUGGGGAGCAAACAGGAUUAGAUACCCUGGUAGUCCACGCCGUAAACGAUGAGUGCUAGGUGUUGGGUCCUUUCCGGGACUCAGUGCCGCAGCUAACGCAUUAAGCACUCCGCCUGGGGAGUACGACCGCAAGGUUGAAACUCAAAGGAAUUGACGGGGGCCCGCAC
This 911-nucleotide ribosomal RNA is filed under the name uncultured bacterium. Its description in RNAcentral is "bacterial SSU rRNA". It matches the Rfam family "Bacterial small subunit ribosomal RNA", at positions 33 to 926 of the family's 1533-position model. The record is from RNAcentral.